AUCCUGGGAAACUGGGGAUAAUUCCGGAUAGGUCACAGAUGCUGGAAUGCACUGUGGCUCAAAGCUCCGGCGCCCAAGGAUGGGUCUGCGGCCUAUCAGGGUUGUAGUGGGUGUAAUGUACCUACUAGCCUACGACGGGUACGGGUUGUGAGAGCAAGAGCCCGGAGAUGGAUUCUGAGACACGAAUCCAGGCCNUACGGGGUGCAGCAGGCGCGAAAACUUUACAAUGCGGGAAACCGUGAUAAGGGAAUCUCGAGUGCCAGCAUAUAAUGUUGGCUGUCCAGAUGCCUAAAAAGCAUCUGUUAGCAAGGGCCGGGCAAGACCGGUGCCAGCCGCCGUGGUAACACCGGCGGCCCGAGUGGUAACCGCUAUUGUUGGGUCUAAAGGGUCUGUAGCCGGCCAGGUAAGUCCCUUGGGAAAUCUGGCAGCUCAACUGUCAGGCUGCUAGGGGAUACUGUUUGGCUUGGGACCGGGAGAGGUGAGAGGUACCUUGGGGGUAGGGGUGAAAUCUUGUGAUCCUCGGGGGACCACCAGUGGCGAAGGCGUCUCACCAGAACGGGUCCGACGGUAAGGGACGAAAGCUAGGGGCACGAACCGGAUUAGAUACCCGGGUAGUCCUAGCCGUAAACGAUGCUCGCUAGGUGUCAGUCACGGUGCGACCGUGAUUGGUGCCGUAGGGAAGCCGUGAAGCGAGCCACCUGGGAAGUAUGGCCGCAAGGCUGAAACUUAAAGGAAU
RNAcentral lists this ribosomal RNA (736 nucleotides) under uncultured archaeon. Its description in RNAcentral is "bacterial SSU rRNA". It matches the Rfam family "Archaeal small subunit ribosomal RNA", at positions 129 to 865 of the family's 1478-position model. The record is from RNAcentral.